UGAGGGAUGCUGUGACACAGAGUCUUGCUUGAUGCAGUGUGUGGUGUUACUCACAGGAGUGGGUUCAGCCACUCUUGGUGUGAAACCCAAGGAAAAUGUCUCUGCCGCAGCUGAUGUCAACAUGUACAGCAUGUGACCAGCUUGCAUUCAGAAAGGAGAUGUGUGUAUGAGUUCUGCAGAAGUCCACCAAAUGUGGGCCAGGGUUAUUUCCCUGGUGAUGCUCUGAAGCUUUUGCCAAAGGACAAAUGGAAACAGGAAGUACAAUCAUGCACUGGGGUAAAGAAGAUUCAUCUGCUCUUAGCUACCUACCAUGCCAACACUCCUGAGAAAGCUCACAGAGGCCCAUGAUGCCCACCUGGAUCUGAGGACCUAGAAAGCCACAACAGGCAACCAUAAUCUGGGUCUUCCCUCAGCCAACUCCCCUGCAUAAAGUGAAUGAAUGAAAAACCCAUCUUAUAUUAAUCAGAGUUCUCUAGAGAAAAAGAACCAAUCAGAUGUGUAUAUAUAGAAAGAGAGAAUUAUUUUAGGGAAUUAGCUCACAUCAUUAUGCAGGCUGGUCAAUCAAAAAUCUGUGGAGUGGGCUAGCAGGCUGGAGACCCAGGGAAAGGCUAAAUUGCAGUUUAGAUCAGAAGGUCAUCUACUGGCAGAAUUCCCUCAUCUUCCAGGAAGGUGGAUCUUUUUCUACCAAGGCCUUCAGUUUAUUAGAUUAGGCCCAUGAACAUGCUGGAGGGUAAUCUGCUUUACUCAAUACAUACUGAUUUGAAUGUUAGUAUCAUCAAAAAGACCUUCACAGAAACAUCUAAAAUAAUGUUUGACCAAAUGUCUGCAUACCAUGGCCAAGCCAAGUUUACACAUAAAAUUAAUUAUCACACAUCCCACGAACACCAUCCCCAACAGAUGCUCAUGAGCAUUGUGGUUAUGAUUUCAACUUCAGAAUAAGGCAGAAAUGUGUACAAAUCCUGACCCUUUGACUUAUCAGCUCUCUAAAAAUCAUUAUAUGUCAACUUUCUAGACUUUACCUGAAAAACAGAAACCAAGAUACCCACAGCAUAAGAUUGUUAGGAUUGAAGAAAUUGUUACGAUUGUUAGGUAUGAAGAAAUUUAAACAAUGAUGCAGCUGAGAUAUUUAGAAUUGUACCUGGCAUGUACUUUGUAUUAAAUAACUAAUAAGGCCUUUUUCUGGUGAAAACAAAAUAAGCCUGGAUAAAAGAAGAUGAGACCAGAUUGGUUGAUGGCUCGGCCUGGGUGGGCUCCUGGCCCAUCUGAAAUUACAUUACUCUUAUGUAGUGCCUUUUUUGUUAUUGCUAAAAUAAAAUAAAUAAAACACUCUACUUUCAUACUUUGUAAAA
This is a long non-coding RNA of Homo sapiens (human), 1349 nucleotides long. RefSeq annotates it as long independently transcribed non-coding RNA 2404. The record is from RefSeq and is a predicted model, not a curated record. The transcript has 3 exons. Lineage: Eukaryota; Metazoa; Chordata; Mammalia; Primates; Hominidae.